Molecule: non-coding RNA, 99 nt
Organism: Macrostomum lignano
Lineage: Eukaryota; Metazoa; Platyhelminthes; Macrostomidae
Source: Rfam
GUGCAGUGAGAAAGGAGAGAAGAUUGGCAUCUCCCCUGCGCAAGGACGGAACUUAUUAUCGGGUCUUGACCCGAAAAAGGCAAAUUAACACGUUUUUUU